UACGGAGGGGGCUAGCGUUGUUCGGGAUUACUGGGCGUAAAGCGCACGUAGGCGGCUUUGUAAGUUAGAGGUGAAAGCCCGGAGCUCAACUCCGGAACUGCCUUUAAGACUGCAUCGCUUGAACGUCGGAGAGGUAAGUGGAAUUCCCAGUGUAGCGGUGAAAUGCGUAGAUAUUGGGAGGAACACCAGUGGCGAAGGCGGCUCGCUGGACCGGUUCUGACGCUGAGGCGCGAAAGCGUGGGGAGCAAACAGG
Molecule: ribosomal RNA, 253 nt
Filed under: uncultured bacterium
Lineage: Bacteria
Description: partial 16S ribosomal RNA
Rfam family: Bacterial small subunit ribosomal RNA
Source: RNAcentral